RNAcentral lists this ribosomal RNA (511 nucleotides) under uncultured bacterium. Its description in RNAcentral is "partial 16S ribosomal RNA". It matches the Rfam family "Bacterial small subunit ribosomal RNA", at positions 30 to 523 of the family's 1533-position model. The record is from RNAcentral.
AUUGAACGCUGGCGGCAUGCCUAACACAUGCAAGUCGAACGGCAGCACAAUAAAGAUUUCGGUCUUUAUGGGUGGCGAGUGGCGGACGGGUGAGUAACGCGUAGGAAUCUGUCCUGGAGAGUGGGAUAACCCGAGGAAACUCGGGCUAAUACUGCAUGACAUUGAGAGAUCAAAAGCAGGGGACCGAAAGGCCUUGCGCUCUGGGGUGAGCCUACGUCGGAUUAGCUAGUUGGUGGGGUAAAGGCCUACCAAGGCGACGAUCCGUAGCUGGUCUGAGAGGAUGACCAGCCACACUGGGACUGAGACACGGCCCAGACUCCUACGGGAGGCAGCAGUGGGGAAUCUUGGACAAUGGGGGAAACCCUGAUCCAGCGAUGCCGCGUGUGUGAAGAAGGCCUUCGGGUUGUAAAGCACUUUAGGUGGGGAAGAAAGGUAGCGAGUGAAUAACUUUCUGCUGUGACGGUACCCACAGAAUAAGCACCGGCUAACUCUGUGCCAGCCGCCGCCGUAA